This 208-nucleotide long non-coding RNA is filed under the name Elaeis guineensis (African oil palm). RNAcentral describes it as "long non-coding RNA (EGUI_LNC051669)". Lineage: Eukaryota; Viridiplantae; Streptophyta; Magnoliopsida; Arecales; Arecaceae. The record is from RNAcentral.
UCGGACUUCUCUGUCUAUGAGCCCGGAGAGGAGUCUGGAUAUGCCUAUGUCUGGAGGGAGUUCGAGAAUGUGGCCGAGCUUCACUCGACCCUUUUUCAACUGCGGACUUGCUAGAGUCCCCCGCCUGCCACUGCUUCGCAGCCUUCUCAUCCUUCAUCAUGAAGGCUUCUUCUGCUCGGGCAUAUCCUUCGGCCCGAGCCAGCAAAUC